CGCCCUCUGGGGUGCACGACAGUACGUCCGUCAAAUGCCUUGUCCCUAUUGCACGACUUCGGGGAGUCCGUCACAGGCGCCGUGCAUGAGCAGGUCCGCUUCGCAGCGGAACGCCUUUAACGGCCAUCAGGACUUCCCACCUGAUCCCUGGGAUCAAGGUCGUCUGACGUACAUCGGCACCCACGGAGGGCCC
RNAcentral lists this non-coding RNA (193 nucleotides) under Lysobacterales bacterium. RNAcentral describes it as "6S RNA". It matches the Rfam family "6S / SsrS RNA". Rfam says of the family: E. coli 6S RNA was the first non coding RNA to be sequenced, but its function was unknown until recently. It consists of 184 nucleotides that fold into an extended hairpin structure with a large single-stranded internal bulge. Lineage: Bacteria; Pseudomonadati; Pseudomonadota; Gammaproteobacteria; Lysobacterales. The record is from RNAcentral.